Molecule: non-coding RNA, 28 nt
Filed under: Mus musculus (house mouse)
Lineage: Eukaryota; Metazoa; Chordata; Mammalia; Rodentia; Muridae
Source: RNAcentral
UCUAAACUGUUGGUCGCCGUCGUCGGUC